GAUGAACGCUGGCGGCGUGCCUAACACAUGCAAGUCGAACGGAGCUGCUUUGAUGAAGUUUUCGGAUGGAUUUAAAACAGCUUAGUGGCGGACGGGUGAGUAACGCGUGGGUAACCUGCCUCACACUGGGGGAUAACAGUUAGAAAUAGCUGCUAAUACCGCAUAAGCGCACAGUUCCGCAUGGAACAGUGUGAAAAAACUCCGGUGGUGUGAGAUGGACCCGCGUCUGAUUAGCCAGUUGGCGGGGUAACGGCCCACCAAAGCGACGAUCAGUAGCCGGCCUGAGAGGGUGAACGGCCACAUUGGGACUGAGACACGGGCCCAAACUCCUACGGGAGGCAGCAGUGGGGAAUAUUGCACAAUGGGGGAAACCCUGAUGCAGCGACGCCGCGUGAGUGAAGAGUAUUUCGGUAUGUAAAAGCUCUAUCAGCAGGGAAGAAAGUGACGGUACCUGAAUAAGAA
This 462-nucleotide ribosomal RNA is filed under the name uncultured bacterium. RNAcentral's name for it is "bacterial SSU rRNA". It matches the Rfam family "Bacterial small subunit ribosomal RNA", at positions 28 to 489 of the family's 1533-position model. The record is from RNAcentral.